RNAcentral lists this ribosomal RNA (406 nucleotides) under uncultured bacterium. Its description in RNAcentral is "partial 16S ribosomal RNA". It matches the Rfam family "Bacterial small subunit ribosomal RNA", at positions 30 to 526 of the family's 1533-position model. The record is from RNAcentral.
AUUGAACGCUGGCGGCAGGCCUAACACAUGCAAGUCGAACGAGUGGCGGACGGGUGAGUAAUGUCUGGGAAACUGCCUGAUGGAGGGGGAUAACUACUGGAAACGGUAGCUAAUACCGCAUACCAUCGGAUGUGCCCAGAUGGGAUUAGCUAGUUGGUGGGGUAACGGCUCACCUAGGCGACGAUCCCUGGCUGGUCUGAGAGGAUGACCGGCCACACGGGAACGGGGCCACGGUCCAGACUCCUCCGGGAGGAAGCAGUGGGGAAUAUUGCCCAAUGGGCGCAAGCCUGAUGCAGCCAUGCCGGGUGUAUGAAGAAGGCCUUCGGGUUGUAAAGUACUUUCAGCGGGGAGGCGUUACCCGCAGAAGAAGCACCGGCUAACUCCGUGCCAGCAGCCGCGGUAAUAC